UACGGAGGGUGCAAGCGUUGUCCGGAUUUAUUGGGUUUAAAGGGUGCGUAGGCGGCUUUUUAAGUCAGUUGGUGAAAUACAGCAGCUCAAACUGUUGAGGUGCCAUUGAUACUGAGAGGCUUGAGUACAGAUGAGGGUAGGCGGAAUUUAUGGUGUAGCGGUGAAAUGCAUAGAUACCAUAAAGAACACCGAUUGCGAAGGCAGCUUACUAAGCUGUAACUGACGCUGAGGCACGAAAAGCGUGGGGAGCGAACAGG
Molecule: ribosomal RNA, 257 nt
Filed under: uncultured bacterium
Lineage: Bacteria
Description: partial 16S ribosomal RNA
Rfam family: Bacterial small subunit ribosomal RNA
Source: RNAcentral